CAGUCUGCACUCUGCAGCCCAGUUUGGGUUUUGGUUCUCACCACGUUCUGAUUCGAGUCCACAGUCCACACCACACCCGCACCAUCUUCCACAAGGAGAGAAUUUUUUUUUCCUCCAGCACCAGUGAGUAGGGCGAGAUGAGCAGCCCCCGCCGCCGCCACUGCCGCCGCUCGCCGGCGGCGUCCCCGCUGGAGGACGACGACCUGCUCUCCGAGAUCCUGCUCCGCCUCCCCCCGCAGCCCUCCGCCCUCCCGCGCGCAUCGGCCGUCUGCAAGCGCUGGCGCGGCCUCGUCUGCGACCCCCGAUUCCGGCGCCGCUUCCGCCUCCGCCACCGCCGCAACCCUCCCCUCCUCGGCUUCUUCAACCGAUUCGAUCGCCUCUCCUUCCAGCCCACUCUGGACGCCCCCGACCGUGUCCCUCUCGGGCCCUUCCCCUUUCAGCGCAACGACGGCGGCUACUUCGUCUCCCUCGGAUGCCGCCACGGCCUCCUACUCGUCUUCCUUCCGGGGAUUCUCGAGGUCCUUGUGUGGGACCCCGUCACCGGCGACCGGCACCGGGUGGCCAUCCCCCCGGUGGUCGCGGAACGUGCGGCGGAGAUUGGGGUCGGCGGGGCGGUGUGUCGCGCUCCCGGAGACGUCCAACAUUUCCAGGUGGUCUUGGCGGUGACAGACGACCACGGCGCACAACCUAGACGAGCGCUCGCCUGCGUUUACUCGUCGAAGACCGGCGUAUGGGGAAGUCUCAUCUCGACACCGCUCCCAUACCAGGCUCAUGGAUCCCAGUUUUCCGCCAUCGUUUGUGCCGAGGACGCCGCGCUGGCUGGAGAUUCCCUCUACUGGCCGCUUACUGGGAAAUUGAAUGGAAUUCUCGAGUUUGAUCUGGAGAAGAAGAGGCUAGCCGUGAUACGGGUGCCGGUGCAUAUGUGGGGCGAGCGGGAGCGGAAUGGCUUCAAGCUUGUGCGGGCAGAGGGUGGUGUGCUAGGUUUCCUCUUCAUAUCGCACUCAGACUGCUGCGCCGCCCAGUUAUGGAAGAGGAUAACUGGUUGUGACGGUGUUGCUUCAUGGGUGCUUGCAAGAACUAUUCAGCUGGACAAGCUGCUUUCCCUGAAACCAGAGGAGAAAGGGGGCAUAGAGAUGGUCGGGUUUGCUCAAGACAAUAGUGUGUUGUUGUUGCGGACAGUUAUCGGCCUCUUCAUGAUCCAUCUUGAGUCACUGAAGUUCAAGAAGCUUUCCAACACUACGACCGUGUCUCGCUAUUUUCCAUUCGAAAGUGUCUACACUGCAGGUAAUACCAUGCCCUACACUAAGGUUAGAAAAAAACCAAGUUAUGUGUCGAUAAUUGGCUGAUGAAAUUAUGUUCACAUCAUUUUGUGUUAAGCCAACAAUUUUAAGUAGUGUUGUAUCAUUUAUUUCUUUCGCUGCUUCAUGGCCUCUUCAGCUUAUAGUGAUUUUGAUUCUGUUAUGAUGCUCAUGUGUGUGCUUUUUAUGUGAUGGUUAUAUAUGGAUUAACAUAUUUUACCUAUAGUUAUUAUAGCUAGUGUUUGUUAUGUUUUUUGUGUCACCAGUUUGGUUUCCGUACCUAGGUGAUGGGCUGUCAUCGAUGAUGCAUUCAACAUAUAUGUGGCGAUGUUCUUAUGUUAUUAUAUUAUUGUUAUUAUCAUUGAACUAUGUUUUUCCAGUCAGAAAUAGCAAACUGUUUCUAUCAGUUCAUUAUAUGAAUAUCUAUACAUAAAACUGAACACCAAGAUUAGCAAAUUCACUGAACUAUAUUUCACCGUUGCCUGCCUAUUGACAUAUGCAAGAAUUUUAAAACCUUACUUUUAGUGUAUAACUGCUGCGAAGUUUUUCUCAAGAUAAAAUAUCUACCAGUUGGAAGUUGAAGACAACAUGAAAAACUAGCUUGAACCAACUGAAAUGUCAAAUAGGCAGCUCAAUAGGUACAUUUGGAAGCUUCAAACUUAGUUCUAUUUCUUUCAUUCUAUAUUAUUAUGUCUGCCAAUCUUGCAAUGAUCUUAAAUCAAUUAUGAAAAAUUCAAAUAAUUGUUCACAGUUAAUCUUAACACUUCAGAAGAGUCUGUUGCGAGUGGAUAAUCUAAAUCGGAAUAGACAUAUCACUUGUCCUAAUGCUGUAUCAAAACUAUGCUUGUUUUUCAAGAUACAGCUAUGAGUUUAUCUAAAUAUCUCCUUGCUGCCUCCUCAUAUCUGUUUGGCUUUUUGUUGGAAUGACAUUGGUUGUUUAACUUCUUAUGCUUGCAGUAACAGGCAUUGGUGGUAGACAUGAUGCAUCUGAUGUUAUGCACAAUAAAUAAGGCGAUUGUCUGGUUAAAUACUCUGUUCUGAUGUACUGGCAGAGCGGUUACAUUCUGGUGACUGAAAUGAAGGAAUGGGUUGUUCGCUGUAGUGUCUACUAUUUUGUAUGUUCGACGCGCAGAUUGGCUCUCUAUGUAGCAUGCACCGGUCAGCUGUGAAGUCCAUUUGUAGCAAUCAAUUGCUUAAUUUGACAAUUUCUAUGCUCUUCAUGAAGGGAACAUUGACUUGCUUCGUUUAAUUAGUACUCUGUACUUCACUUGUCGUUCCUUUAGUUUGCUGCUUUUCAAGCAAGCUCACCUAUGAAUUGUCUGCUUGCAUUUGGUGUGUGCGCAAGUUGGUUGCGUUUGGUUAUCUCGUGCCUUGUAUAUUGCUCGUGUUCCACAAUGUCGCAUUGCGCGUGCGUGUGUGGAAUUUCCAUCU
Molecule: RNA transcript, 2729 nt
Organism: Triticum aestivum (bread wheat)
Lineage: Eukaryota; Viridiplantae; Streptophyta; Magnoliopsida; Poales; Poaceae
Gene name: F-box protein At5g03970
Exons: 2
Source: RefSeq, a predicted model, not a curated record